RNAcentral lists this long non-coding RNA (1699 nucleotides) under Sorghum bicolor (sorghum). RNAcentral describes it as "long non-coding RNA (SBIC_LNC010407)". The record is from RNAcentral. Lineage: Eukaryota; Viridiplantae; Streptophyta; Magnoliopsida; Poales; Poaceae.
UUUUUUUUGUUUUUAGGGUGAACUAAAUAAGCCCAAAAUGGCUUUAUUUGCUGGUCUAGCCCCGUGCGCGGUCCCAGUUUCGAAGCAACGAAAUACCACUAGUGUGAAGGACCUGCCGCCAAUACAACAGCGUGGCACACGUCGGUUCACCAGAUGCCGACGCUGCCGCCUGCAGACUCCAGUUUCAGGGCUGGCCUCUUAACAGCUUACACCUACCACUACCACUAGAGAAUUCUUCAGGCGCGCGACGGCUCCAUCCAGCUGACUCCAAUUGGUCAGCAGAUUCGGGUUUGGCAGAGCCACCGCCACCACCAACCUGCGGGGUCAGACUUUGUGGAUCCAGAUUUGAUAUUUUGUUCUCUGUAAAGAUUUCAAUUGACAUUUUGCUCUUUAAUUAAUAAUAUUAAUCGUGUACAGUUUUGGAUUGUGCGACCAACAGAAUGGCAAUGUGAAUCCAAAGGAAAAUGUGCUCAGUUUUACUACGUUUGGAAAGUACUCUGUUUCUGUGAACAGAGAUAUAAAAUGUACGGAGUACGGAUUUCUCUGUUUCUAAACACAAUCUGUUUCUAACAACGGCGAGACUUGAACCGGAAUAUUCCAAAUUUCCUACACAAGCUGGGCACAACAAUGAGGUUUCGUUAAGAAACUUUAUUUGUAGAAAUAACAGUAAAUAAUUAUUCCACAUGCUCACGAGAUAUGAGAUGACAUAACGGUAGCAUAAACUAUAUGACUCGUUGUUUCUAUUUAAAAAAUAAUGAAUCCAAUUCCAAUCACAGGGCAUGUCGGCCUUGCAUGCCCCUGCACCACAAUUAUACAUCUUUCUUUUCUUGGCCUAGGCGCCUAUCUCUAGACCUCGGAAAAAAAAUAAUGACCGCCUCGAUUCCAUCCGUGACGAACUGAUGAAGAGGCAAAACUACUCUACAUACUCCCUGAUCUGCAACCUAUCCUGUGGUUAGCUUCAGUUCAGACGCAGAAAAAAAAAAGCCUAUUAUCGCCAUCGUUCAUGCAACCGGCUAGCUGCUACGAUUUCUAAUUGCAGCAGUGCGAGGGAGGGUUGGAUCCAGACGGCUUCUUGUCGCCGAACAUGUCCACAACCAUUUCGAUGGCGCCUUCUCCCUUGAACGGCCUCGCAGAGACGGUGAGGACGUUGAUGAUUUGGAUCAAGAAGACGAGCAGCAGCACCACCUUUGACAUCCACAUGGCCGCCAUGAACGUCGUCGAUCGUGCAGUCAGGGAUGACGUACGUGAUCCAAGCGGCAAGCUGGAGAAGAUCGACGAGACCAAGGGUGUGUGAGAUGCCUAGCUAGGGUUACUCCUGCGGAAAAGCUGGAUGCCUCGUUGUUCGUUAAGGUUCUUGUUGUUGGAGCUUGGCCUUGGAUGUGUGUGUUGUUUGAUGGGUGCAUUUGUUGCAUGCCGCGGGGCUGUGCUUAUAUAGGUGAGGGUUUGUUGGUGCACGGGGCGCGAGCCUCGUCGCACUUGGGGCCCUUGACUGGUGCAUAGGCGCAUACGUGUAGCCCCUCGCUGCCGUGUAGGAAACGGUCGCUGUUUUCCGAGUCUCGCCCUCGUACUUUUCGCCGGGCAGGUUCUAACCUCUUGACCUCGGCUCGGCAGGGCAGGCAGCUAAACUAGUUAUUAUGCAGCUGCUCUGCUCCUCCUCUAUAUGAAUGGUCGGUCAGCACCUUUGAUCUUCCGAAUCAAA